RNAcentral lists this long non-coding RNA (272 nucleotides) under Monodelphis domestica (gray short-tailed opossum). RNAcentral describes it as "lncRNA (ENSMODG00000042001.1)". Lineage: Eukaryota; Metazoa; Chordata; Mammalia; Didelphimorphia; Didelphidae. The record is from RNAcentral.
CAGCAACAGUGGAGGCCGAUUUAGGAGCGGAGUCUGAGAUCAGGAGCAGAUUUCUUCUUUGCUGAUUGAUUUUCCAGACUGUGGACCCUGCUUUUCCAAUUCAUCAAGGACCCCUGAUUAUGGUGCUAUCUUUAGAUCCUCAUGAAUUAGGGAAGGAAGGAACCUCAGCUUACUUAUGCAACCUCUACCAUAAAGGAAUCCAGACAAGUGGUCAUCCAGCCUCUACUUGAAAACUUUCAGGGAUGGUGAGGCCAUCGUAGCCCAUUUUACCU